UAACAUUGAUGGUUCACUGCAUUCACCACCAAACAAGAUAUAUGAUAGUAGUUCCGAUGAAUAUAAUCUUGUGUCGUCAAUGAUUGGCAUCAUCACAAAUAUUGCUGCCACCCCCCUGGGUAGAGAUUACCUUUCAAGUAAAACACUUGGAGUGAAAACAUUGGAUUCUCUGAUUAUGUAUUUGUCUGAAAUGCCUACACGACAGUGUCACACCAUCAAAAAUCUUAUUCUUAAGUCCUUGUUUAAUGUGAGUAUCAACCAAACAGGACUAAAAUAUCUUUCGACGAAAAAAGGCCUGAUGACCAACCUUGGUUACCUGUUCACAGAAGAAACUGAGAGUGAACUUCGUUUGUCUUGUCUUAAUUGUAUACAGUCUUUAAUUGUCGAGCCAGAUAAUCUGUCUUUCUCACGAACUUCUUGAAGUGGUUUCGAUGCGAAGAUUACAAGAAAUUGCGGACACAUCCAAAGGCGAGCUAAAGAAAGUUGUCUUGGAAGUAAUGUCUGAUCUCAAUGAGGUUUUAUCUCGUCAGUCUUAACGUGUUCAAUAACCCAUGGUAGGAUUAUUCUUUUUUAUAUGUUUUGAAUGCAAUGCAAUUAAUCAAAGUCCAGUUUCGGUGGCAUACUUUUAUCUUUUGAGGAAAUCGAUUUGAUCUUUUUAAGAGUUCGUGCAUGGGUAUUGUAGUUGCUUAGAUUUAUCAAGUCCCUUGAAACUUCAUUGUUCGAAAAAAUAUUUAACUUAACUUUCGUAAAAAGUACAUUGUAGCUAAAGCGGAUUGUACAAUUCGAAAACAUCCGUUUAAAGUUAAUAUAAUAUAUUUGUAUUUAAAUGGUUUGCAUUCCACUACACUUGUCAAGUUUUUUCAUCAUAAGUUCACAAAAAAAUACACAACUAAAAAGAUUAAA
Long non-coding RNA from Xenia sp. Carnegie-2017, 903 nucleotides. RefSeq lists it as uncharacterized. The record is from RefSeq and is a predicted model, not a curated record. Lineage: Eukaryota; Metazoa; Cnidaria; Anthozoa; Malacalcyonacea; Xeniidae. The transcript has 6 exons.